RNAcentral lists this ribosomal RNA (326 nucleotides) under uncultured eukaryote. RNAcentral describes it as "partial 18S ribosomal RNA". It matches the Rfam family "Eukaryotic small subunit ribosomal RNA", at positions 1470 to 1796 of the family's 1831-position model. The record is from RNAcentral.
CCCUUAGAUGUCCUGGGCCGCACGCGCGCUACACUGAUGCAUGCAACGAGUUUAUAACCUUGGCCUGAAAGGUCUGGGUAAUCUUUUGAACGUGCAUCGUGAUAGGGAUAGAUUAUUGCAAUUGUUAAUCUUGAACGAGGAAUUCCUAGUAAACGCGAGUCAUCAGCUCGCAUUGAUUACGUCCCUGCCCUUUGUACACACCGCCCGUCGCACCUACCGAUUGAAUGGUCCGGUGAAAUCUCCGGACUGGCGUGAGUCGGAGCAAUCUGACAAACACCGGAAAGUUGAUUAAACCUUACCAUUUAGAGGAAGGUGAAGUCGUAACA